GUGAAAUUGUUGAAAGGGAAGCGCUUGCAACCAGACCUGCCUGCAGUUGCUCAUCCGGGCUUUUGCCCGGUGCACUCUUCUGCUGUCAGGCCAGCAUCGGUUCGGGCGGUCGGAUAAAGGCUUCGGGAAUGUAGCUCCUCUCGAGGAGUGUUAUAGCCCGUUGCGAAAUGCGGCCAGCUUGAACUGAGGUCCGCGCUUCGGCUAGGAUGCUGGCGUAAUGGUUGUAAGCGGCCCGUCUUGAAACACGGACCAAGGAGUCUAACAUCUGUGCGAGUGUUUGGGUGUCAAACCCGUGCGCGUAAUGAAAGUGAACGGAGGCGGGAACCCCUCGGGGUGCACCGUCGACCGAUCCUGAUGUCUUCGGAUGGAUUUGAGUAAGAGCAUAGCUGUUGGGACCCGAAAGAUGGUGAACUAUGCCUGAAUAGGGUGAAGCCAGAGGAAACUCUGGUGGAGGCUCGCAGCGGUUCUGACGUGCAAAUCGAUCGUCAAAUUUGGGCAUAGGGGCGAAAGACUAAUCGAACUAUCUAGUAGCUGGUUCCUGCCGAAGUUUCCCUCAGGAUAGCAGUAACGUUUUCAGUUUUAUGAGGUAAAGCGAAUGAUUAGAGGCCUGGGGGUUGAAACAACCUUCACCUAUUCUCAAACUUUAAAUAUGUAAGAAGUCCUUGUUACUUAGUUGAACGUGGACAUUUGAAUGUAUCGUUACUAGUGGGCCAUUUUUGGUAAGCAGAACUGGCGAUGCGGGAUGAACCGAACGCGG
Molecule: ribosomal RNA, 757 nt
Filed under: uncultured Ascomycota
Lineage: Eukaryota; Fungi; Ascomycota
Description: LSU rRNA
Rfam family: Eukaryotic large subunit ribosomal RNA
Source: RNAcentral